RNAcentral lists this ribosomal RNA (498 nucleotides) under uncultured bacterium. Its description in RNAcentral is "partial 16S ribosomal RNA". It matches the Rfam family "Bacterial small subunit ribosomal RNA", at positions 30 to 523 of the family's 1533-position model. The record is from RNAcentral.
AUUGAACGCUGGCGGCAUGCCUUACGCAUGCAAGUCGAACGGUAACAGGUCUUCGGAUGCUGACGAGUGGCGAACGGGUGAGUAAUACAUCGGAACGUGCCUAGUAGUGGGGGAUAACUACUCGAAAGAGUGGCUAAUACCGCAUGAGAUCUACGGGAGAAAGCAGGGGAUCGCAAGACCUUGUGCUACUAGAGCGGCCGAUGGCAGAUUAGGUGGUUGGUGGAAUAAAAGCUUACCAAGCCGACGAUCUGUAGCUGGUCUGAGAGGACGAUCAGCCACACUGGGACUGAGAAACGGCCCAGACUCCUACGGGAGGCAGCAGUGGGGAAUUUUGGACAAUGGGCGCAAGCCUGAUCCAGCAAUGCCGCGUGCAGGAUGAAGGCCUUCGGGUUGUAAACUGCUUUUGUACGGAACGAAAAGCCCCGGGUUAAUACCCUGGGGUCAUGACGGUACCGUAAGAAUAAGCACCGGCUAACUACGUGCCAGCAGCCGCCGUAA